GCGGGUGUAGCUCAACGGUAGAGCCCCAGCCUUCCAAGCUGGUUGUUGAGGGUUCGAAUCCCUUCGCCCGCUCCA
RNAcentral lists this transfer RNA (75 nucleotides) under bacterium. Its description in RNAcentral is "tRNA-Gly". It matches the Rfam family "tRNA". From Rfam's summary of the family: Transfer RNA (tRNA) molecules are approximately 80 nucleotides in length. Their secondary structure includes four short double-helical elements and three loops (D, anti-codon, and T loops). Further hydrogen bonds mediate the characteristic L-shaped molecular structure. tRNAs have two regions of fundamental functional importance: the anti-codon, which is responsible for specific mRNA codon recognition, and the 3' end, to which the tRNAs corresponding amino acid is attached (by aminoacyl-tRNA synthetases). tRNAs cope with the degeneracy of the genetic code in two manners: having more than one tRNA (with a specific anti-codon) for a particular amino acid; and 'wobble' base-pairing, i.e. permitting non-standard base-pairing at the 3rd anti-codon position. The record is from RNAcentral.